Molecule: ribosomal RNA, 422 nt
Filed under: Haliotis corrugata (pink abalone)
Lineage: Eukaryota; Metazoa; Mollusca; Gastropoda; Lepetellida; Haliotidae
Description: partial 16S ribosomal RNA
Rfam family: Bacterial large subunit ribosomal RNA
Source: RNAcentral
UGCCUUUUAAUUGGAGGCUGGUAUGAAUGGUUUGACGAGGGCUGAGCUGUCUCUCCUGGAAUAUUUAAAAAUUAACUUCUAAGUGAAAAGGCUUAGAUUUAACUGAGGGACGAGAAGACCCUGUUGAGCUUUAGUGUGGGAUAAAAGGUUUAUUUUUAUUGGAAUAGAGGAUUUUGAGUUUAUUCUUACAUCUUUAGUUGGGGUGACUAGGGAACAUGGAAAGCUUCUCUGUUGAUUUGUAGAAUUUUGGUUUACUAACGAGUGAUCCAGCAUUGCUGAUUAUCGGAAAAAGUUACCACAGGGAUAACAGCGUAAUCUUUCUGGAGAGUUCACAUUGAAAGAAGGGUUUGCGACCUCGAUGUUGGAUUAAGGUGUCCUGAAGGUGUAGCAGCUUUCGUUGGUGGUCUGUCGACCCUUAAAAC